CAAUAGUGUAUAUUAAAGUUGCUGCAGUUAAAAAGCUCGUAGUUGCAUUUCCGAGGCAAGGGAUUAGUCCGACCUUUGGUGGGUAUUUAAUCCUCCUGCCUCGUCCUUGAGUGGUGCUUCUUGGUAUUAAGUUAUCGAGGAGAUAGCCGCUCAUCGUUUACUGUGAGAAAAUUAGAGUGUUCAAAGCAGGCUUAUGCCGUUGAAUAUAUUAGCAUGGAAUAAUAAGAUAGGACCUCGGUACUAUUUUGUUGGUUUGAGAACCAAGGUAAUGAUGAAUAGGGACAGUUGGGGGUAUUCGUAUUCAGUUGUCAGAGGUGAAAUUCUUAGAUUUACGGAAGACGAACUACUGCGAAAGCAUUUACCAAGGAUGUUUUCAUUAA
RNAcentral lists this ribosomal RNA (380 nucleotides) under uncultured eukaryote. RNAcentral describes it as "partial 18S ribosomal RNA". It matches the Rfam family "Eukaryotic small subunit ribosomal RNA", at positions 592 to 976 of the family's 1831-position model. The record is from RNAcentral.